Molecule: ribosomal RNA, 553 nt
Filed under: uncultured bacterium
Lineage: Bacteria
Description: bacterial SSU rRNA
Rfam family: Bacterial small subunit ribosomal RNA
Source: RNAcentral
AUUAGCUAGUUGGUGAGGUAAUGGCUCACCAAGGCAACGAUCAGUAGCCGGUCUGAGAGGACGGUCGGCCACACUGGAACUGAGACACGGUCCAGACUCCUACGGGAGGCAGCAGUGGGGAAUUUUUGGCAAUGGGGGCAACCCUGACCAAGCAACGCCGCGUGGAUGAUGAAGUAUCUCGGUACGUAAAAUCCUUUCGACGGGGACGAAACCGCAAGGUUGACGGUACCCGUAGAAGAAGCCCCGGCUAACUCCGUGCCAGCAGCCGCGGUAAUACGGGGGGGGCAAGCGUUGUUCGGAAUUACUGGGCGUAAAGGGCGCGUAGGCGGCUUGUUAAGUCGGGUGUGAAAACUCUGGGCUCAACCCAGAGCCUGCAUUCGAAACUGAUGAGCUAGAGUUCUGGAGGGGAAAGCGGAAUUCCUGGUGUAGCAGUGAAAUGCGUAGAUAUCAGGAGGAACACCGGUGGCGAAGGCGGCUUUCUGGACAGAAACUGACGCUGAUGCGCGAAAGCUAGGGGAGCAAACAGGAUUAGAUACCCUGGUAGUCCUAGCCC